UACGGGGGGGAGCAAGCGUUGUUCGGAUUUACUGGGCGUAAAGGGCGCGUAGGCGGCCUCUGCAAGUCGACUGUGAAAUCUCCGGGCUUAACCCGGAAAGGUCAGCCGAUACUGCAGGGCUAGAGUGCAGAAGGGGCAACUGGAAUUCUCGGUGUAGCGGUGAAAUGCGUAGAUAUCGAGAGGAACACCUGCGGCGAAGGCGGGUUGCUGGGCUGACACUGACGCUGACAGCGCGAAAGCUAGGGGAGCGAAGCGGG
RNAcentral lists this ribosomal RNA (257 nucleotides) under uncultured bacterium. RNAcentral's name for it is "partial 16S ribosomal RNA". It matches the Rfam family "Bacterial small subunit ribosomal RNA", at positions 524 to 777 of the family's 1533-position model. The record is from RNAcentral.